This is a long non-coding RNA of Oreochromis aureus, 546 nucleotides long. The record is from Ensembl. Lineage: Eukaryota; Metazoa; Chordata; Actinopteri; Cichliformes; Cichlidae.
GCUGAAACCAGGGGGCUCAAUCAGCAGGUGGAAUCUAAGGCAGGACUUGCUCAUCCUCAACGAAGGCCAAAACAUUAGUGAAGAAAACAGAGGAAUCCUAACCAUCCCAGGACAAUCCCAGGAACCAGUUUGAGGUCAUCUGAACUUUGUAACAUGUAAUCAUCAUAUGACCAACUCUGAAAACUGAAAACAUCUUAAAGAUCUAACCUUCUCAUGUCCCCAUUUUAUUGUUUUUUCCAUUAAUUUCCAGGACGUCUAGGAAACGUCUGGCUGCAGCUGGAGUCACAACACGGAGCAGCCCGUGGCCUCUCUGGUCUGCAGGAUCCUGAUCAGGGCCGUGACUGUUUUCAGACCUGCUGAGACCUUAUCCACAGAUUUCAAAUGAAUCCCUUGCUGUUUGUGUUUGUUUGGUCUUACAUGAACACAGCUUGUCUGCGUAGCUCUCAGCCAUGACACCGGGGACAAUCGUUGGUUUGUGGAGUGCAAAAUAGAAGUGGGAAAUCGAUGACAACAACAUCCGCUGCUGGUGUAUCAUAGACUCUUUAU